CAUUGGGAGCCAUUUUGUUACUCAGAGAAGCCAAGUGAGGUGUCUGAGUUUAACGGAAACAAUUGGGAAGUAAUUGGGAUAAAAUGGAUGGUAAUGAAUUGCAUGUAAAGAGAAGAAAUCAAGAUGUAUCCAAGAUGCAAUAAAGUGCCAUAAAAAUCA
Molecule: long non-coding RNA, 159 nt
Organism: Penaeus chinensis
Lineage: Eukaryota; Metazoa; Arthropoda; Malacostraca; Decapoda; Penaeidae
Exons: 2
Source: RefSeq, a predicted model, not a curated record